Unclassified non-coding RNA from Callithrix jacchus (white-tufted-ear marmoset), 300 nucleotides. It matches the Rfam family "Metazoan signal recognition particle RNA". From Rfam's summary of the family: The signal recognition particle (SRP) is a universally conserved ribonucleoprotein. It is involved in the co-translational targeting of proteins to membranes. NCBI's taxonomy places the organism in Eukaryota, Metazoa, Chordata, Mammalia, Primates, Cebidae. The record is from Ensembl.
GCUGGAUGCGGUGGCGCGCGCCUGUAGUCCCAGCUUCUUGGGACGCUGAGGUGGGAGGAUCGAUUGAGCCCGGGAGUUCUGGGCUGUAGUGCGCUGUGGAGAUCGGGUGUCUGCACUAAGUUCGGCAUCAAUAUGGUGACCUCCUGGGAUCGGGGGACCACUAGGUCGCCUAAGGAGGGGUGAACCAGCCCAGGUUGGAAACAGAGCAGGUCAAAACUCCUGUGCUGAUCAGUAGUGGGAUCGUGCCUGUGAAUAGCCACUGCACUCCCGCCUGGGCAACAUAGUGAGACCCCAUCUCUG